CGCGGUCCGAGUUGUAAUUUGUAGAGGAUGCUUCGAGCAUGGUCCGGUCUAAGUUCCUUGGANCAGGACGUCAUAGAGGGUGAGAAUCCCGUAUGCGACUGGGUGCCUAAGCUCAUGUGAAGCUCCUUCAACGAGUCGAGUUGUUUGGGAAUGCAGCUCAAAAUGGGUGGUAAAUUUCAUCUAAAGCUAAAUACUGGCCAGAGACCGAUAGCGCACAAGUAGAGUGAUCGAAAGAUGAAAAGCACUUUGGAAAGAGAGUUAAACAGUACGUGAAAUUGUUGAAAGGGAAGCGCUUGCAACCAGACUUGCAUGCAGUCGAUCAUCCGAUGUUCUCACCGGUGCACUCGAUUGUGUUCAGGCCAGCAUCGGUUUUGGUGGCUAGAUAAAGGCCUUGGGAAUGUAGGUCCCUUUUGGGGGUGUUAUAGCCCUUGGUGCAAUGUAGCCUACUGGGACCGAGGACCGCGCUUCGGCUAGGAUGCUGGCGUAAUGGUUGUAAGCGACC
This 502-nucleotide ribosomal RNA is filed under the name uncultured fungus. RNAcentral's name for it is "eukaryotic LSU rRNA". It matches the Rfam family "Eukaryotic large subunit ribosomal RNA", at positions 132 to 649 of the family's 3401-position model. Lineage: Eukaryota; Fungi. The record is from RNAcentral.